GUUCACAAAGGUAGCCCGUGGAGAUCCUUUAGCAUCCGUUUGGUUCGGGGUUAAGGAAUAAAUGGCUAUUCCAAGGAUAGAAUCGAUAGAGUUAAGUUCGGGGUUAAAGUGGGGUUAAAGUUUUUUUGUAUUUGGUUGGGGGCUGGAGUUAGUCUAGAAUAAUGAAAAAUAGUAUUUGGUUGGAGUAGGUGGGAUAAAAAGAUAAUGAUUGAUAAAGAAGGAUAAUGAUUGGUUAGAGUAGGUGUGAUAAGAAAAAUAGUGAGUUAUUAUGAAUAGAAAAUAAUGUUUGGUUGAAGUUUGUUGGGGUUAGAUGGGAUUAGCUAAUCCGGAAUAAUUUAUUUGAGGUGUGGUUAGCUAAUUCCACCCAUUUUUUAGGGUGUUUGGGGAUAAAAUGGGGGUUAAGGGGUUAUUCCACCCCUUAACCCCCAACCAAACAA
This 437-nucleotide long non-coding RNA is filed under the name Ananas comosus (pineapple). RNAcentral's name for it is "long non-coding RNA (ACOM_LNC022437)". Lineage: Eukaryota; Viridiplantae; Streptophyta; Magnoliopsida; Poales; Bromeliaceae. The record is from RNAcentral.